This 458-nucleotide long non-coding RNA is filed under the name Echeneis naucrates (live sharksucker). RNAcentral describes it as "lncRNA (ENSENLG00000000362.1)". Lineage: Eukaryota; Metazoa; Chordata; Actinopteri; Carangiformes; Echeneidae. The record is from RNAcentral.
AAGAGGUUAGACUGAGAACAGACCCAAAUAUAAAUAUUAAUGUAUGAAUAAACUCUUAUUUUUUAACUGAAAUCUCUGUGUCUGUGUGAUAGGGAGAAUCAGGUAUUGACAACAACAUCCCAGGAGCCAAAGGAGACCCAGGGAACCCAGGUUUACCGGGUUCACCUGGACCAGAUGCGCGGCCAGGAGAGGGUGGGGUCCCUGGAAACCCAGCUGCUUAGGGUCCAGAUGGAAGAAGGGGUGCUGCUGGUGUGAAGGUAGGAGUAACUUGAUGCUGUUGGUGAAACUUUAUGACUAUUGUUUUAUUGUACUCUUUCACCUCAUUUUUGCAGGGAUCAUCUGGUGAACCAGGAGCUCCAGGAGUCCGAGGCAGCCCCGGUGCUGCUGGUCCUCAGGGACGCAGAGGAGCCAAUGGUCAACCAGGUCCAAAAGGAAUCUCUGGACUUCCUGGACCUCAG